RNAcentral lists this ribosomal RNA (450 nucleotides) under uncultured Glomeromycotina. RNAcentral describes it as "SSU rRNA". It matches the Rfam family "Eukaryotic small subunit ribosomal RNA", at positions 569 to 1023 of the family's 1831-position model. Lineage: Eukaryota; Fungi; Glomeromycota. The record is from RNAcentral.
AGCAGCCGCGGUAAUUCCAGCUCCAAUAGCGUAUAUUAAAGUUGUUGCAGUUAAAAAGCUCGUAGUUGAAUUUCGGGGUUAGUAGUUUGGUCGUGCCAAUGGUAUGUACUGGGCUCACUGAUUCCUCCUUCCUGAUGAACUGUAAUGCCAUUAAUUUGGUGUUGCAGGGAAACUGGACUGUUACUUUGAAAAAAUUAGAGUGUUUAAAGCAAGCUAACGCUUGAAUACAUUAGCAUGGAAUAAUGAAAUAGGACGUUCGAUCCUAUUUUGUUGGUUUCUAGGAUUGACGUAAUGAUUAAUAGGGAUAGUUGGGGGCAUUAGUAUUCAAUUGUCAGAGGUGAAAUUCUUGGAUUUAUUGAAGACUAACUACUGCGAAAGCAUUUGCCAAGGAUGUUUUCAUUAAUCAAGAACGAAAGUUAGGGGAUCGAAGACGAUCAGAUACCGUCGUAG